CGAGCCGGCCGGGCGGCCGCGUCGGGCCCGCGAGGGCCCGCCGAGGAAGGUCCGGGCUCCACAGGGCAGGGUGGUCGGUAACGCCGACCCGGGGUGACCCGCGGGACAGUGCCACAGAGAGCAGACCGCCUCCCCUCCGGGGGAGGUAAGGGUGAAAGGGUGGUGUAAGAGACCACCAGCGCCCACGGUGACGUGGGCGGCUCGGUAAACCCCACCCGGAGCAAGGUCAAGAAGGGACACUCCACGGAGCGUCCCGCGCGCGGCGUUCGAGGGUAGCCCGCCCGAGCCGCGCGGGUAGACCGCUUGAGGCCGCCGGCAACGGCGGUCCUAGAUGGAUGGCCGCCCCUUCGGCGACGAAGGACAGAACCCGGCCUACAGGCCGGCUCGUCAC
Molecule: RNase P RNA, 391 nt
Filed under: Nonomuraea pusilla
Lineage: Bacteria; Bacillati; Actinomycetota; Actinomycetes; Streptosporangiales; Streptosporangiaceae
Description: Bacterial RNase P class A
Rfam family: Bacterial RNase P class A
About the family: Ribonuclease P (RNase P) is a ubiquitous endoribonuclease, found in archaea, bacteria and eukarya as well as chloroplasts and mitochondria. Its best characterised activity is the generation of mature 5'-ends of tRNAs by cleaving the 5'-leader elements of precursor-tRNAs.
Source: Rfam by way of RNAcentral